This is a long non-coding RNA of Salvelinus fontinalis (brook trout), 706 nucleotides long. RefSeq lists it as uncharacterized. Lineage: Eukaryota; Metazoa; Chordata; Actinopteri; Salmoniformes; Salmonidae. The record is from RefSeq and is a predicted model, not a curated record. The transcript has 4 exons.
UAAAGGCAGGUUGUGGGUAGCUAGAGAGGUAGUCUGAAUAAAGGCAGGUUGUGGGUAGCCAGAGAGGUAGUCUGAAUAAAGGCAGGUUGUGGGUAGCUAGAGAGGUAGUCUGAAUAAAGGCAGGUUGUGGGUAGCUAGAGAGGUAGUCUGAAUAAAGGCAGGUUGUGGGUAGCCAGAGAGGUAGUCUGAAUAAAGGCAGGUUGUGGGUAGCUAGAGAGGUAGUCUGAAUAAAGGCAGGUUGUGGAGAGGUAGUCUGAAUAAAGGCAGGUUGUGGGUAGCUAGAGAGGUAGUCUGAAUAAAGGCAGGUUGUGGGUAGCUAGAGAGGUAGUCUGAAUAAAGGCAGGUUGUGGAGAGGUAGUCUGAAUAAAGGCAGGUUGUGGGUAGCUAGAGAGGUAGUCUGAAUAAAGGCAGGUUGUGGGUAGCUAGAGAGGUAGUCUGAAUAAAGGCAGGUUAUGGGUAGCUAGAGAGGUAGUCUGAAUAAAGGCAGGUUGUGGGUAGCUAGAGAGGUAGUCUGAAUAAAGGCAGGUUAUGGGUAGCUAGAGAGGUAGUCUGAAUAAAGGCAGGUUGUGGAGAGGUAGUCUGAAUAAAGGCAGGUUGUGGGUAGCUAGAGAGGCAGUCUGAAUAAAGGCAGGUUGUGGGUAGCUAGAGAGGUAGUCUGAAUAAAGGCAGGUUGUGGAGAGGUAGUCUGAAUAAAGGCAGGUUGUGG